GACGAACGCUGGCGGCGUGCCUAAUACAUGCAAGUAGAACGCUGAAGAGAGGAGCUUGCUCUUCUUGGAUGAGUUGCGAACGGGUGAGUAACGCGUAGGUAACCUGCCUUGUAGCGGGGGAUAACUAUUGGAAACGAUAGCUAAUACCGCAUAACAAUGGAUGACCCAUGUCAUUUAUUUGAAAGGGGCAAAUGCUCCACUACAAGAUGGACCUGCGUUGUAUUAGCUAGUAGGUGAGGUAACGGCUCACCUAGGCGACGAUACAUAGCCGACCUGAGAGGGUGGUCGGCCAGACUGGGACUGAGACACGGCCCAGACGCCUACGGGAGGCAGCAGUAGGGAAUCUUCGGCAAUAGGGGCAACCCUGACCGAGCAACGCCGCGUGAGUGAAGAAGGUUUUCGGAUCGUAAAGCUCGGUUGUAAGUCAAGAACGAGUGUGAGAGUGGAAAGUUCACACUGUGACGGUAGCUUACCAGAAAGGGACGGCUAACUACGUG
RNAcentral lists this ribosomal RNA (497 nucleotides) under uncultured bacterium. RNAcentral's name for it is "partial 16S ribosomal RNA". It matches the Rfam family "Bacterial small subunit ribosomal RNA", at positions 28 to 507 of the family's 1533-position model. The record is from RNAcentral.